Long non-coding RNA from Pogoniulus pusillus (Red-fronted tinkerbird), 347 nucleotides. RefSeq lists it as uncharacterized. NCBI's taxonomy places the organism in Eukaryota, Metazoa, Chordata, Aves, Piciformes, Lybiidae. The record is from RefSeq and is a predicted model, not a curated record. The transcript is spliced from 3 exons.
AGGGGAGUCAAGAUGAACAAUGUGGAGUGAGACUAUUCUAGGCAGAAGGAGGCAAAAUCUAGGGACUACAAUUUGAAACAACUGAAGAGGUGAAGCAUGAGGAAACCAGAGUCUCUGUACUCUGCAGACAGAGAUGAGAUGUGUCCAGCCAUGCUGCAGACACAUUCCUUUUGAUGUUGUCAUCACUUGUCAUCACAGAAGCCUGCUGGAUGGUAAUAACCUGCAGACACUGGCUUUAGUGUGGUCUCUCACAGUUAAUUUCAGUGGUUUUAAGACUGUCUGUAUACAAAUAUCUCCUUGAGCAGCUCCUGGAAAAUAAGUGUCAAGUCCCCUGCGACAGAAAUAAA